This 140-nucleotide ribosomal RNA is filed under the name uncultured eukaryote. RNAcentral describes it as "partial 18S ribosomal RNA". It matches the Rfam family "Eukaryotic small subunit ribosomal RNA", at positions 1299 to 1458 of the family's 1831-position model. The record is from RNAcentral.
UGGUGGAGCGAUUUGUCUGGUUAAUUCCGAUAACGAACGAGACUCUGGCCUACUAACUAGACGUUGGAUCUCUUUGUGGGUCCAUCGCAGCUUCUUAGAGGGACGGGCGGCGUUUAGCCGCACGAGAAUGAGCAAUAACA